RNAcentral lists this ribosomal RNA (480 nucleotides) under uncultured bacterium. RNAcentral describes it as "partial 16S ribosomal RNA". It matches the Rfam family "Bacterial small subunit ribosomal RNA", at positions 28 to 507 of the family's 1533-position model. The record is from RNAcentral.
GGUGAACGCUAGCGGCAGGCCUAACACAUGCAAGUCGAGGGGGAGGUUACUUUCGGGUAACUGAGACCGGCGUACGGGUGCGUAACGCGUAUACAAUCUGCCUUUCACUGGGGGAUAGCCCGAAGAAAUUUGGAUUAAUACCCCAUAGUAUAGUAAUACGGCAUCGUGAUGCUAUUAAAGCUUAGGUGGUGAAAGAUGAGUAUGCGUUCUAUUAGCUAGUUGGAGAGGUAACGGCUCCCCAAGGCGAUGAUAGAUAGGGGUUCUGAGAGGGAUGUCCCCCACACUGGUACUGAGAUACGGACCAGACUCCUACGGGAGGCAGCAGUGAGGAAUAUUGGACAAUGGUCGGAAGACUGAUCCAGCCAUGCCGCGUGCAGGAUGAAGGUCUUAUGGAUUGUAAACUGCUUUUGUAAGGGAAGAAUAAGGGCUACGCGUAGUUUGAUGACGGUACCUUACGAAUAAGCAUCGGCUAACUCCGUG